UACGUAGGGGGCAAGCGUUGUCCGGAUUUAUUGGGCGUAAAGAGCGUGUAGGCGGCUUUACAGGUCAGGUGUGAAAUCUCGGAGCUUAACUCCGAAACUGCAUUUGAUACUGCGGUGCUUGAGGACUGGAGAGGAGACUGGAAUUUACGGUGUAGCAGUGAAAUGCGUAGAGAUCGUAAGGAAGACCAGUGGCGAAGGCGGGUCUCUGGACAGUUCCUGACACUGAGGCACGAAGGCCAGGGGAGCAAACGGG
This 253-nucleotide ribosomal RNA is filed under the name uncultured bacterium. RNAcentral describes it as "partial 16S ribosomal RNA". It matches the Rfam family "Bacterial small subunit ribosomal RNA", at positions 524 to 776 of the family's 1533-position model. The record is from RNAcentral.